Molecule: ribosomal RNA, 527 nt
Filed under: uncultured bacterium
Lineage: Bacteria
Description: bacterial SSU rRNA
Rfam family: Bacterial small subunit ribosomal RNA
Source: RNAcentral
GCGAAAGCGUAGCUAAUACCGCAUACGCCCUACGGGGGAAAGCAGGGGAUCGCAAGACCUUGCACUAUUAGAGCGGCCGAUAUCGGAUUAGCUAGUUGGUGGGGUAACGGCUCACCAAGGCGACGAUCCGUAGCUGGUUUGAGAGGACGACCAGCCACACUGGGACUGAGACACGGCCCAGACUCCUACGGGAGGCAGCAGUGGGGAAUUUUGGACAAUGGGGGAAACCCUGAUCCAGCCAUCCCGCGUGUGCGAUGAAGGCCUGUGGGUUGUAAAGCACUUUUGGCAGGAAAGAAACGUCAUGGGCUAAUACCCCGUGAAACUGACGGUACCUGCAGAAUAAGCACCGGCUAACUACGUGCCAGCAGCCGCGGUAAUACGUAGGGUGCAAGCGUUAAUCGGAAUUACUGGGCGUAAAGCGUGCGCAGGCGGUUCGGAAAGAAAGAUGUGAAAUCCCAGAGCUUAACUUUGGAACUGCAUUUUUAACUACCGAGCUAGAGUGUGUCAGAGGGAGGUGGAAUUCCGCG